GGAAUUUACUGACCCCGUAUAUAUCGUAUUACAUGUAGGUCACUAACACACUAUGUAACUGACAAUAUCUGACCAAAGUUUAAACGAAUCACUUAUUUGAUUAUGUUUACAGUUUUUAUAAUACUGCAAUUUACAAAUAUAGGAUAUAAGAUUUAUUGAUAUAUGUUGUCUGAACGCACAGUGGCAAAUAUUUCAUGUAGAUUUAUGACCGGGAGAAGAACAUUUAAAAAAAUUAAUAAGAUCUUGCAUGCGUUGUCGGUGAUAAAUAAUGAGAAAAGGUUCAAUAUAAAUAUACAAAAAAAAAACAACGAUGAGAGAGACACGACAAAAAAUAAUCCAGCAAAAUAUGAAAUAUAAAAUCAUUUUCAUGGAUUAUUUUUUCAUCCUCUUUGUUGGUUUGCUGUAGUCUAUUAAUCUCACUGACUUUAAUUUUAAGACAACCAUAAACGACCAAAUAAACAGCUUCUUCUAGUAGAUCCUCUUAUGCUAGUAGAAUUAUGCAUCCUAUUCCGCUUGAAUAUCAGAUAGUUAUUUGAAAUAAUUCAAGAUAUAUGAGAUGGUUUACAAAUAAAAAAAAUAAAGACAACAUCCCCUCCCCCACCCCCACCCCUUAAAAAAAGAAUAAAGAAAAAAGGCAAUCAAGUUAAGAAUAGAAAAUAACAUUAUUUGGUUGAAAGGUAAAAAAAAAAAUGAAAAUUGAAAAAAGGUAAAAUAAAAAAUAAAAGGGAUAAAUGAUUUGAAGAAUAAUGAAACUUUGCGUCUUCUGCAUAUUAAAUUUAUUAUUGACAAUAUUCUAGUAGAUCAUUCCGGAUGAAAUGUUUAACUUUCAAAUUGGUAGUAAACGCAACUGUUCAAAUGAAAUUACGAUGCAUAUUUCAUACAUUCAUAAGCAUCGGUGUUUUUCGCUAAACUCCCGAUCUUGCAUGAGUUAACGUAUCAUUUCGUCUCCUAUUGCAGGUAAAUUUAACCUCAUCCUGCAUUGUGUCAACAAUUAUUUUUAUAGUUUUACACACUUUGAAAAAAUAGUUUGUGACAGAUGUCAGACCACGAUAAUCAUAAGCAACAAAAAGAUCUGCAAUAGUUGGUGAAAAAAA
RNAcentral lists this long non-coding RNA (1094 nucleotides) under Mytilus galloprovincialis (Mediterranean mussel). The record is from RNAcentral. Lineage: Eukaryota; Metazoa; Mollusca; Bivalvia; Mytilida; Mytilidae.